RNAcentral lists this ribosomal RNA (230 nucleotides) under uncultured bacterium. RNAcentral's name for it is "partial 16S ribosomal RNA". It matches the Rfam family "Bacterial small subunit ribosomal RNA", at positions 118 to 347 of the family's 1533-position model. The record is from RNAcentral.
UGAGUAACCUGCCCUUAACUCUGGGAUAAGCCUGGGAAACUGGGUCUAAUACCGGAUAUGACUCCUCAUCGCAUGGUGGGGGUGAAAGCUUUAUUGUGGUUUUGGAUGGACUCGCGGCCUAUCAGCUUAUUGGUGAGGUAAUGGCUCACCAAGGCGACGACGGGUAGCCGGCCUGAGAGGGUGACCGGCCACACUGGGACUGAGACACGGCCAGACUCCUACGGGAGCAG